GGGCGCUCUAGAACUAGUGGUCCCCCAGAGUUUGAUCCUGGCUCAGAUUGAACGCUGGCGGCAGGCCUAACACAUGCAAGUCGAACGGUAGCACAGAGAGCUUGCUCUCGGGUGACGAGUGGCGGACGGGUGAGUAAUGUCUGGGAAACUGCCUGAUGGAGGGGGAUAACUACUGGAAACGGUAGCUAAUACCGCAUAACGUCGCAAGACCAAAGAGGGGGACCUUCGGGCCUCUUGCCAUCAGAUGUGCCCAGAUGGGAUUAGCUAGUAGGUGGGGUAACGGCUCACCUAGGCGACGAUCCCUAGCUGGUCUGAGAGGAUGACCAGCCACACUGGAACUGAGACACGGUCCAGACUCCUACGGGAGGCAGCAGUGGGGAAUAUUGCACAAUGGGCGCAAGCCUGAUGCAGCCAUGCCGCGUGUAUGAAGAAGGCCUUCGGGUUGUAAAGUACUUUCAGCGGGGAGGAAGGAUAAGGUUAAUAACCUUGUCGAUUGACGUUACCCGCAGAAGAAGCACCGGCUAACUCCGUGCCAGCAGCCGCGGUAAUACGGAGGGUGCAAGCGUUAAUCGGAAUUACUGGGCGUAAAGCGCACGCAGGCGGUCUGUCAAGUCGGAUGUGAAAUCCCCGGGCUCAACCUGGGAACUGCAUUCGAAACUGGCAGGCUGGAGUCUUGUAGAGGGGGGUAGAAUUCCAGGUGUAGCGGUGAAAUGCGUAGAGAUCUGGAGGAAUACCGGUGGCGAAGGCGGCCCCCUGGAAAGACUGACGCUCAGGUGCAAAGCGUGGGGAGCAAACAGGAUUAAUACCCUGGUAGUCCACGCUGUAACGAUGUCGACUUGGA
Molecule: ribosomal RNA, 841 nt
Filed under: uncultured Enterobacter sp.
Lineage: Bacteria; Pseudomonadati; Pseudomonadota; Gammaproteobacteria; Enterobacterales; Enterobacteriaceae
Description: partial 16S ribosomal RNA
Rfam family: Bacterial small subunit ribosomal RNA
Source: RNAcentral